GCUUAACGCGAAGAACCUUACCUACUCUUGACAUCUAGCGAAGAUUGCAGAGAUGCAGUUGUGCCUUCGGGAACGCUAAGACAGGUGCUGCAUGGCUGUCGUCAGCUCGUGUUGUGAAAUGUUGGGUUAAGUCCCGCAACGAGCGCAACCCUUAUCCUUAGUUGCCAGCACGUAAUGGUGGGAACUCUAGGGAGACUGCCGGUGAUAAACCGGAGGAAGGUGGGGACGACGUCAAGUCAUCAUGGCCCUUACGAGUAGGGCUACACACGUGCUACAAUGGUACGUACAGAGGGAGGCAAGCUGGCGACAGUGAGCGGAUCUCUUAAAGCGUAUCGUAGUCCGGAUCGCAGUCUGCAACUCGACUGCGUGAAGUCGGAAUCGCUAGUAAUCGCAAA
RNAcentral lists this ribosomal RNA (395 nucleotides) under uncultured bacterium. Its description in RNAcentral is "bacterial SSU rRNA". It matches the Rfam family "Bacterial small subunit ribosomal RNA", at positions 954 to 1348 of the family's 1533-position model. The record is from RNAcentral.